AAAAAAAAAAAAAACCUAUUUUGCUAAAUCUAAAUACAUAUGUUUGACUCCCAAUAUAUAACCAAAGUUCACAUGUUUCCCAAAUCGUUAUGGAAGCCAAGGUUCGAAUCAUUGCCAUUGCAAAUAGAAUAUAAAUCUUACAUUGUACUUUUGUUAUCAUUUCUCUAAAUCUGAAUAUUUGGCUUAUUAGUUUCCAAAAAAAAAAACUCCAAUUUUAAUUUCAAGGUUCAAAUCACUCCCUAUGCAAAUUGAAAUAAAAAUUUUACAUUGUGAUUGGUUAACCACAUUCGGUUCAUGUUACUCUUAAACCCGUCCGAACCGACCAAUUUUUGAGUGGUUUAGUUGAUUCUUGAUUUGGUCAUUUGCUUGUUUGUCUACUUAGUGAACUCAGACCAAACAACCAUCCAGUUUGACAGUUCCCUGUCUGAAACCAACGGGUCCGAUCCGAUUUUAAUAACUAUGCUUGAUGUAUAAAUAGCAAGGUAAGGAUUUUCUUGCAAGUUUUCUUUGAGCUAAAUGUUUCAGUAGCCAUUAAACAUGUUUUUCCCUCCCACUUUACUCAUUAAACUUUAAAAUGUUUUCGAGCGGUCAGUGAACUUUAAUACACUGUAUUUCAUUAAUUAUUGAACUUUAAAGUGCUUUUGAGUGACGACUAAAUUUUAACAUACUGUUAGGUAUGGCAAUUUAGCUUGCCAGUUUGGGGCCGAAAGUGGCUCGGCAAAAUAAAAAAAAAAAAAGCCCGAGUUGGCUAGCGGCCCUAUUGAAAAAAAAAAUUAAGUUAAAGGCGGCAGAUGUGUUGCCUUAAUAGGCACUCGGUUGCUACCUUUUAAGACAGCCAGCUGCGACUUCCUUAUUAAAGGCUCGAGUCGAAAGUUCGGGUCGAGUUUAAUUUUUUUGGCCGAGCUUUGGGCUUAAAAAAAGCUCGCUCCCUUUAUCCCAGCCGAGCCUCAAGUUUCGACUUACGAGUCGAUUCGGCUCAACUCGUUGACAUCCCUACAUACUUCGUCAACCAUUCACCAUGUUUCAUCAGUUAUUAAACUUAUAAUUUUGUCACGUUUUACUUAUUGAAUUUUAAAAUACUUUCAAGUGGUCACUAAAUUUUAGUCAUUGAAAUCAAUUGUUCAAAAAUGAAAAAUUUUGAAAUAUAAAAUAUCAUACACAAAGACUGCAUCUUUAUUUCCUCUUGUUAAUAUUAUUGACUUCAAAUCGAAAAUUUCACUAUAUUUUUUUAGAUAUAUCAUAUGCAUAACCCUGAUUAGGCUCCAUUAAAAAAAAUGCUUUGAGAAAAGUGUAUGUUGGAGUAGUGUGGUUAAAAAAUAAAGAAAAUUUGUCAAUUCUUGUAUAAUAUUAUUUUAUUGAAAAAUGUGGUUAAAAAUAAGAAAGAAAAAAAUGUAUUUAAAAAAAAAUGGAACCCAAACCGGGCAUAGUUUUUUAUUUUCUUUAUUUGGAUCUAUUUUAUUUUUUCGACGUAAAAGAAUAUUUGGUAUAAAUUAAGAUUUAUGUCAAUUUGAAUCUAACACCCUUCCUUUCUCUUCAAUAUAGCUUUUGGCGACUAGAGAAAUUAUAUCUUCUUAAACAAUAUUAAUAUUCUCCUUUUAAAUUGAGAGUCUCAUUAUAUAUUCGAUAUUUAUUUAUUUAUCUUGGUCAAAUCUCUUAAAAAAUUAAAUUUACAUGAAAUUAUUUUGAAGUUUAGUGACCACUCAAAAACAUUUUAAAGUUCAACGAAUAACGCGUAACGAACAUAUAAGUUCAAUAACUAAUGAACAUAAUGAAUAUGAGUGAUGAAGUGCAACGUGUAAAAAUUCAGAUCAUGAGUAAGUGAUAAAGUGUAAUGUGUUAAAGUUCAGUGAUUACUCAAGUAUAAUUUAAAGUUCAGGGAAUAAAAUGUGCCAAAAGUAUAAAUUCAAUGACAAAUAAAAUAUGUAACUCAAUUUCUUCUUCUCUGAGCACUAUUAUGCAAAAAACCGUGGGUUGUUUUUAUUUAUUAUUAGAUUUAAAUUAGCCACAUCUUAUACUAGCUUCAUCCAUACUACAAUAUCAAUCUAAGCACGAUAUAUUAAAUUUAAUUAAAAAUAAAAGCACGUCAGUAUGAUGUCAUUUAAACUUGUGUUGUAACACUGUUAAAUAGAUUAUUCUUUUUACGCAAUAUGUUACUCUAGAGAUCAAUUUUAGUUGUUUGGACACAUUUUAUCCAUGUAGUUUAUUUUUCUCUUAACAGAAGCGAAACUCGAAAAUUACAAAAUAAUUGUGCUCGGUGUACAAUUACUGCUAGUGAUUUCGAGCUAACUGCAAAUUGGAAUGUAUACAAAUGAACAUUUUGUUUGAAGCCCAGAAAAAGAAAACAAUUAAUCAGGGGAAUUUGGAGUUUAGAACUAUGUACAUGAUCAACUCAUAGAUCUGAAAUACAUGAUUUGUAAAGAUACAUAUUGCACUGGAUAAAAGGGGAUUGGACUAGAAUUUACAAUUUUUGAUAGCCUACCAUUCCCAGCAGAAACCUCAUUUUCACUCUUCAAUUACCAGUUACACAUUUCCACAACAUCCUGAAGCCUCCUCUCCAGCGCGGCAGCGGAGGAAUCCACGGCUGCAGACUCUUUGACUUGUGACGAUUCUCGUCGGAAUACGGUUUCGAAACGGGAAACGCACUUUGCGAUUGACUCUUUCGCUUGAAAACCAGAUGCAGAAGGCGAGGAUGAACAAUUGGAAAUACGCGACGACGUUGGUCUGGUGUGGUGCCCUAAUAUGAGCAUUGCUGCUGUUGGUGCCAUGCCUUGGUGGAAUCCAGAUGAAUUAUUUGAAGCAAAUUUUGUUGAAGAUGAAGAACGAUGUGUUUGUGGUGGUGAGAGUUUUAAUUUGCGAUGAAGGAAACAAACUGUGGGCUCUGCUGUUGGUUUUGAGUUUUGGAGUCUGAUCCCAAUCUACUGACUUUUGUUAAAUCAGGUAAAUUCACAUUAAUUUAUUUUACUUUAGUUACAUCAUUCAAUUUUACCACUUAAAUUGACAGAAAAUAACGAUGAUGGUCGUCUCGCAUCGGCCCGGUUUCAUGUGAUGAACAUCAUUUAUUGAUCAAUACGGCAC
Molecule: long non-coding RNA, 3075 nt
Filed under: Olea europaea (common olive)
Lineage: Eukaryota; Viridiplantae; Streptophyta; Magnoliopsida; Lamiales; Oleaceae
Description: long non-coding RNA (OEUR_LNC006511)
Source: RNAcentral